RNAcentral lists this unclassified non-coding RNA (772 nucleotides) under Hevea brasiliensis (rubber tree). Lineage: Eukaryota; Viridiplantae; Streptophyta; Magnoliopsida; Malpighiales; Euphorbiaceae. The record is from RNAcentral.
UUGGGAUUCCUAAUCCUAGUAGUAAUAGGACUAGUUGAUAUACUAUAAAUACUUAUUUCUUCUUAGUAUUUUAUUAGAGUUUAUGAUUAUAUUAUUCUAUUGAGAAUAAAUAAAUUGAGAAUGUGUUUCCUUACCCUUUGAGAAUGUGUUUCUCAUCCCCUUGAGAAUUGUUUUCUCAUGACCCUUCUUGUUCUAUAUCAGUAAUGGAUAUUGAAAAGAGUUAAACCAGUGUUUUUCUCGUCAUUUGAUUCAUAGAUGUCUUGUUCUAGAAGGGAACUUAAAGAUCUAAGCUGCUUUCUUUGUCAUUACAGUCAUUUCUGUCCUGAUAGGGCCUAUGUAGCUUUUAGUAGUUUGCCAAUUUCAGGUUUGUUCUUUACCAUUGUGAAUUUGUGGUUAACUGCAGAAAAGAAAAGAUUUUGUCAGCUAGUCCCACCUAGAUUCUUCAUAUUGGGGCCUAGUUGAGUUGUUAGAUCUUACAUGCAUAUUGAUCUGGCAAUUGUAGUUAAAUGAGAUAUGCUUUUUAUAUUUGCUACAUGGAACUCAUGUUAGUUACACACUACUCUUCACCUACUUCUCUUUUUGGUUGAUGUUUUAGCUUGUUAAAUGCCUCUAUGACUAUUCACUAAAUGGAACCUAUGUAGAAAUGUGAAGCUUGAUUUUUUCUUUAAUUCUUUUUAUUCUAGUGCUUUCUGUCUGACCUUUCAUUUUCUUGGUUACAUAUGAAUGACAUAUGUAUCAGCUGAAGAGUAUUCCUAGUUCAAGUUUGGUCCAU